Molecule: long non-coding RNA, 1322 nt
Filed under: Salvia miltiorrhiza (redroot sage)
Lineage: Eukaryota; Viridiplantae; Streptophyta; Magnoliopsida; Lamiales; Lamiaceae
Description: long non-coding RNA (SMIL_LNC006617)
Source: RNAcentral
AAAACAUGCAUACAUCCAUUUUCUGUAAUUUCCAUAAGGAAAUCAAAUAGAAUAAAUCUUACUAAAUACAUGAAAAAGAAAAUAGAAAUAGAAGAAGGGAGGGGAAAUUGUUGGUGAGUGUAUGACUGUUGAACAGCGCCGCCGGCGCUACGCGCCACGGCGGCUGGCGGAAGGAGGCAGGGGCGGCGUACGGCGAGAGAGGAAACAGGGGCAGCGGCACCGUGGUCUCUGCCGCUGCUGUGUACUUCCGGUCAGGGCGGAGGGAGAGGCGCUUGGGUUGUGCCGCUGUCGACGCGAGAGGGCGGUAGUGGUGGCGAAGGUCGCCGGAGAAGGAGACGCGGCCGCGGCUUGGCGCGGCGAGGAGAGGCAAGAGACCGAGGGAGAGAGGGAAGGAGAGAGAAGUGGAGCAGUUGCUGUGCGUAAGUGAGUGAAUGAGUGUUAUAUUAGGGGUUGAUAUUAGUCUUUGGGCUUGGGCUUAGGUUAAAUUCAUUUAAUGAGCUGAAUUUACUUAAAUAAUUGGGCUAAUAAUUUUAAUAAAAAUUGGGCUUUUAUUUUAAAUUAAGAUUUAAGCAACAAGAUCAUGCCUUAAAUAUUUUAUUAAUAAGAUCAAUGUAAUUUUAAAGGUUUUAUGUAAAUUUUCUUUAAUUUUUAAAUUAUUUUUACAAGUUCAAAUAGGCCCUUAUGUUUAUUAUUUGAAUUUAUCUGACUAGGUGCGGCGCGACUAGGACAUAACUGUUGAUCUGAAAUUAUUCAAGUUAUCUAUCAAAUCCAUAUUUUCAGGUGUGGGAUUUAUUUCAGUACAUGCACGUGGUUAAUAUUUGUCCAUUUUAAUAUUAUGUGUUUACCGUAUGUGUUGUAAAAAUAUUUAUCGCUAGGGGCCAGCAUAAUUGGUCCAGGACUUCACCGUCCUUGGUAUGCCACAAUGCGAUUUCAUGUUACAGGGUUGCAACCAUUAUAUUGUCGCCAGGGGCCCACAUAUAGGGUCCGGGACAUUAAAGUCCUUGGAGUUGCCACAGUGCGUAUGGAAGUUAUGUUACGUUAUGACAAUAUGUGUUACCAUUUUAUUAACAUGGACAAUUAUUGCAUGUUCCCACACUGAGUGUACCCUGUAUGCUCAUCCCAUAUUCAACAGUUUCAGGUGAUUGAUAUUGGAGGCGCGUGGAGAGUCGAAUGGGCGCGUCGAAUCUAAUUAAAAAUAAAUGUUUCUUAAAACAUAUUAUGUUAUUUCAUUUGAUAUCUUUUGGUUAUGUAAACUCUGAAAUUCUAUACUAUUUGAGAUUUGUGUGUGAUUUGUUUAAAUAAAUGUUAUUAUAUUAUUUUAA